UAUUUAAUGUAAAUUAUUUAAACUUGAGUAGUAUUUGUUAUUAUCUUAAAACUUAAAGAAUUUGGCGGUAUUAAAGUCUUUUUAGAGGAAUCUGUUUAAUAAUCGAUAAUCCACGUUGAACCUUACUUAUUUUUAUUUAAUUUGUAUAUCGCUGUUUUUUUUGUAAAUUUUUUAGAAUAUUAAUUUUCUUUAUAUCUUUAUUAAAGAUUUAUUUCAAGUCAAGGUGCAGUUAAUAAAUAAGUUUAAAUGGAUUACAAUAUUUUUUUAAUAUAAAAAUGGAUUAGUAUUAGAAAUUUUUAUUAUGAAGGUGGAUUUAAUAGUAAAUUUUUGUAGAUUAUAAUUUUGGAAUAAGCUCUAUAAUAUGU
This 365-nucleotide ribosomal RNA is filed under the name Anaplecta sp. FL-2015. RNAcentral's name for it is "partial 12S ribosomal RNA". Lineage: Eukaryota; Metazoa; Arthropoda; Insecta; Blattodea; Anaplectidae. The record is from RNAcentral.